RNAcentral lists this ribosomal RNA (253 nucleotides) under uncultured bacterium. Its description in RNAcentral is "partial 16S ribosomal RNA". It matches the Rfam family "Bacterial small subunit ribosomal RNA", at positions 524 to 776 of the family's 1533-position model. The record is from RNAcentral.
UACGAAGGGGGCGAGCGUUGUUCGGAUUUACUGGGCGUAAAGGGCGCGUAGGCGGCCCUCUUUGUCGCGUGUGAAAGCCCCGGGCUCAACCUGGGAAUGGCGCGCGAAACGGGGGGGCUUGAGUUCGGGAGAGGAGCGUGGAAUUCCCAGUGUAGAGGUGAAAUUCGUAGAUAUUGGGAAGAACACCGGUGGCGAAGGCGGUUAGCUGGGCAGUUGCUGACACUGAGGCGCGACAGCGUGGGGAGCAAACAGG